This 376-nucleotide unclassified non-coding RNA is filed under the name Hevea brasiliensis (rubber tree). The record is from RNAcentral. Lineage: Eukaryota; Viridiplantae; Streptophyta; Magnoliopsida; Malpighiales; Euphorbiaceae.
GUUGGUGUACUGUGGUGGUGGAUGCUUGUUUAGGCAUUGCCCAUUUGGACAAGAAUUAACUUAGAGGGAUCACGGGUUGUUCAUUUUGACUCCUCUACAUAUUGAUUUUACCCAUUUGGUCUUCUAUGAGUCAUUGCCCUACAAUCCAUUUGAGAAAGUUUUGUUGGUGUUGAGCAAGGAAAAGUUAUUUCAUAAUGCGGCAAAUAGGUUGCAUUGUUGCUUCUGCUAUUUCAUAAUGCAGCAAAUUCAAAAGGCUUUAGUUUUUGUAUGAUAUGCUCAUUACUUGCCUCUAGAGGAAUGUGUUUGAAGCUAAAGUGUUAAUUUUGAUAUCAUCAAUAGUUUUUCCCCCUUUUCUUUGUGGUUUAUUAGGUGGAGG